Molecule: ribosomal RNA, 301 nt
Filed under: uncultured bacterium
Lineage: Bacteria
Description: partial 16S ribosomal RNA
Rfam family: Bacterial small subunit ribosomal RNA
Source: RNAcentral
CAGCCGCCACGGUAAUACGAAGGGGGCUAGCGUUGUUCGGAAUUACUGGGCGUAAAGCGCGUGUAGGCGGGUCUUUAAGUCAGAGGUGAAAUGCCAAGGCUCAACCUUGGAACUGCCUUUGAUACUGGAGAUCUUGAGUCCGGGAGAGGUGAGUGGAAUUGCGAGUGUAGAGGUGAAAUUCGUAGAUAUUCGCAAGAACACCAGUGGCGAAGGCGGCUCACUGGCCCGGAACUGACGCUGAGACGCGAAAGCGUGGGGAGCAAACAGGAUUAGAUACCCGUGUAGUCCCUGUCUCUUAUAC